RNAcentral lists this ribosomal RNA (1213 nucleotides) under metagenome. RNAcentral's name for it is "bacterial SSU rRNA". It matches the Rfam family "Bacterial small subunit ribosomal RNA", at positions 302 to 1498 of the family's 1533-position model. The record is from RNAcentral.
GGUCAGCCACACUGGGACUGAGACGCUGCCCAGACUCCUACGGGAGGCUGCAGUCGAGGAUCAUUGGCAAUGCGCGAAAGCGUGACCAUGCGACGCUGCGUGGAGGAUGAAGGCCUUCGGGUUGUAAACUCCUGUCAUUCGGGAAAAAUGCCGGGCUGGUGAAUAUCCAGCCCGGGUGAUGGUACCGGAAGAGGAAGCCACGGCUAACUCUGUGCCAGCAGCCGCGGUAAUACAGAGGUGGCGAGCGUUGUUCGGAUUUACUGGGCGUAAAGGGUGUGUAGGUGGUUCUGCAUGUCGGAUGUGAAAUCCCACGGCUCAACUGUGGAAUUGCAUCCGAAACUGCAGUGCUAGAGUGCAGGAAGGGAGAGCGGAAUUCUCGGUGUAGCGGUGAAAUGUGUUGAUAUCGAGAGGAACACCGGUGGCGAAGGCGGCUCUCUGGAAUGUUACUGACACUGAGACACGAAAGCUGGGGGAGCAAACAGGAUUAGAUACCCUGGUAGUCCCAGCCCUAAACGGUGUGCACUUGGUGUGGAGGGUGUUGACCCCCUCCGUGCCGGAGCUAACGCAUUAAGUGCACCGCCUGGGGAGUACGGCCGAAGGCUAAAACUCAAAGAAAUUGACGGGGGCCCGCACAAGCGGAGGAGCAUGUGGCUUAAUUCGAUGCUACGCGAAGAACCUUACCAGGGCUUGACAUGCAGCUGCACGUCCCGUGAAAGCGGGAUUCCUUCGAGGGUGCUGCACAGGUGCUGCAUGGCUGUCGUCAGUUCGUGCCGUGAGGUGUUGGGUUAAGUCCCGCAACGAACGCAACCCCUGUGCUUAGUUGCCACCCCCGAUGAUGAGUCGGGGAGCACUCUAAGCAGACUGCCCGUACAAGCGGGAGGAAGGUGGGGACGACGUCAAGUCAGUAUGGCCCUUACGCCCUGGGCUGCACACGUGCUACAAUGGCCGGUACAGAGGGAUGCAAGACCGCGAGGUGGAGCAAAUCCCUAAAAACCGACCUCAGUUCGGAUUGAAGGCUGCAACUCGCCUUCAUGAAGUUGGAUUCGCUAGUAACGGCGCAUCAGCUACGGCGCCGUGAAUACGUUCCCGGGCCUUGUACACACCGCCCGUCACAUCAUGAAAGCCGUCUGCACCCGAAGUCGCUGAUCCAACCCGCAAGGGAGGUAGGCGCCGAAGGUGUGGGCGGUGAUUGGGAUGAAGUCGAAACAAGGUA